UGCCAGCAGCCGCGGUAAUACGUGGGGUGCAAACGUUGCUCGGAAUCAUUGGGCGUAAAGCGCACGUAGGCGGUCUUUUAAGUCGGAUGUGAAAGCCCGGGGCUCAACCCCGGAAGUGCAUUGGAAACUGGCGAACUUGAGUACGGGAGAGGAAAGUGGAAUUCCGAGUGUAGGGGUGAAAUCCGUAGAUAUUCGGAGGAACACCAGUGGCGAAGGCGGCUUUCUGGCUCGAUACUGACGCUGAGGUGCGAAAGCGUGGGGAGCAAACAGGAUUAGAUA
This 279-nucleotide ribosomal RNA is filed under the name uncultured bacterium. RNAcentral's name for it is "partial 16S ribosomal RNA". It matches the Rfam family "Bacterial small subunit ribosomal RNA", at positions 506 to 784 of the family's 1533-position model. The record is from RNAcentral.